CACGCCGCGUGAGUGAUGAAGGCUUUCGGGUCGUAAAACUCUGUUGUUAGGGAAGAACAAGUGCUAGUUGAAUAAGCUGGCACCUUGACGGUACCUAACCAGAAAGCCACGGCUAACUACGUGCCAGCAGCCGCGGUAAUACGUAGGUGGCAAGCGUUAUCCGGAAUUAUUGGGCGUAAAGCGCGCGCAGGUGGUUUCUUAAGUCUGAUGUGAAAGCCCACGGCUCAACCGUGGAGGGUCAUUGGAAACUGGGAGACUUGAGUGCAGAAGAGGAAAGUGGAAUUCCAUGUGUAGCGGUGAAAUGCGUAGAGAUAUGGAGGAACACCAGUGGCGAAGGCGACUUUCUGGUCUGUAACUGACACUGAGGCGCGAAAGCGUGGGGAGCAAACAGGAUUAGAUACCCUGGUAGUCCACGCCGUAAACGAUGAGUGCUAAGUGUUAGAGGGUUUCCGCCCUUUAGUGCUGAAGUUAACGCAUUAAGCACUCG
This 487-nucleotide ribosomal RNA is filed under the name Bacillus cereus. Its description in RNAcentral is "bacterial SSU rRNA". It matches the Rfam family "Bacterial small subunit ribosomal RNA", at positions 393 to 870 of the family's 1533-position model. Lineage: Bacteria; Bacillati; Bacillota; Bacilli; Caryophanales; Bacillaceae. The record is from RNAcentral.